CCUACGGGAGGCAGCAGUGAGGAAUAUUCGUCAAUGGACGAGAGUCUGAACCAGCCAAGUAGCGUGAAGGAUGACUGCCCUAUGGGUUGUAAACUUCUUUUAUAUGGGAAUAAAAUGUUCCACGUGUGGGAUUUUGUCUGUACCAUAUGAAUAAGGAUCGGCUAACUCCGUGCCAGCAGCCGCGGUAAUACGGAGGAUCCGAGCGUUAUCCGGAUUUAUUGGGUUUAAAGGGAGCGUAGGUGGAUUGUUAAGUCAGUUGUGAAAGUUUGCGGCUCAACCGUAAAAUUGCAGUUGAAACUGGCAGUCUUGAGUACAGUAGAGGUGAGCGGAAUUCGUGGUGUAGCGGUGAAAUGCUUAGAUAUCACGAAGAACUCCGAUUGCGAAGGCAGUUCACUGGACUGCAACUGACACUGAGGCUCGAAAGUGUGGGUAUCAAACAGGAUUAGAUACCCCUGUAGUC
RNAcentral lists this ribosomal RNA (460 nucleotides) under uncultured bacterium. Its description in RNAcentral is "partial 16S ribosomal RNA". It matches the Rfam family "Bacterial small subunit ribosomal RNA", at positions 338 to 795 of the family's 1533-position model. The record is from RNAcentral.